Molecule: unclassified non-coding RNA, 334 nt
Filed under: soil metagenome
Description: partial contains 5.8S ribosomal RNA, internal transcribed spacer 2, and large subunit ribosomal RNA
Rfam family: 5.8S ribosomal RNA (bases 1-120)
Source: RNAcentral
GAUGAAGAACGUAGCGAAAUGCGAUAAGUAGUGUGAAUUGCAGAAUUCAGUGAAUCAUCGAAUCUUUGAACGCACAUUGCGCCCGCCAGUAUUCUGGCGGGCAUGCCUGUUCGAGCGUCAUUUCAACCAUCAAGCCCCAGGCUUGUGUUGGAGCCCUGCGGCUGCCGCAGCCUCCCAAAACCAGUGGCGGGCUCGCUAUCACACCGAGUGCAGUAGUUUACUCUUCGCUCAGGGCGUGUGGCGGGUGCUAGCCGUAAAACCCCCAACUUCUCAAGGUUGACCUCGGAUCAGGUAGGAAUACCCGCUGAACUUAAGCAUAUCAAUAAGCGGAGGA